UGUUUUGCAUGCUCCUCCCAACAACCCCUGGUGUCAGAACUCAUAUCAUUACCUGAGCCGGAGCUCUGGGAUACCUGCACCAGGGAGGUCCCAGCAUUCAUCAUGGAAGGCCUGGCUUGCCUCCUCUGUCUCCUGUUUCUCUGGGUCCCAGAUUCCAGUGGACAAACCCUGUUGACCCAGACUCCAGCCUCCUUGGCUGUGUCUCCAGGAGAAACGGCCACGGUCAAUUGCAGGGCCAGUCAGAGUGUGAGUAAAUACCUAGCAUGGUACCAGCAGAAACCUGGGCAGGCUCCCAAGCUUCUCAUCUAUGAUGCCUCCAGCAGGGCCACUGGUGUCCCAGCCCGGUUCAGUGGCAGCGGGUCAGGGACAGACUUCACUCUCACCAUCAGCAGCCUGCAGCCUGAGGAUGUUGCUGUUUAUCACUGUUACCAGUAUAGUAAUGGGUGA
Non-coding RNA from Cavia porcellus (domestic guinea pig), 447 nucleotides. The record is from the annotation of a RefSeq genome assembly. NCBI's taxonomy places the organism in Eukaryota, Metazoa, Chordata, Mammalia, Rodentia, Caviidae.